AGGACGAACGCUGGCGGCGUGCUUAACACAUGCAAGUCGAGCGGAAAGGCCCUUCGGGGUACUCGAGCGGCGAACGGGUGAGUAACACGUGAGUAAUCUGCCCCUAGCUCUGGGAUAGCUCCGGGAAACCGGGAUUAAUACUGGAUACGACCACCUUAGACAUCUUUUGUGGUGGAAAGAAUUUCGGCUAGGGAUGAGCUCGCGGCCUAUCAGCUUGUUGGUGGGGUAACGGCCUACCAAGGCGACGACGGGUAGCCGGCCUGAGAGGGCGACCGGCCACACUGGGACUGAGACACGGCCCAGACUCCUACGGGAGGCAGCAGUGGGGAAUAUUGCGCAAUGGGCGAAAGCCUGACGCAGCGACGCCGCGUGGGGGAUGAAGGCCUUCGGGUUGUAAACCCCUUUCAGCAGGGACGAAGCGAAAGUGACGGUACCUGCAGAAGAAGCGCCGGCUAACUACGUGCCAGCAGCCGC
Molecule: ribosomal RNA, 474 nt
Filed under: uncultured bacterium
Lineage: Bacteria
Description: SSU rRNA
Rfam family: Bacterial small subunit ribosomal RNA
Source: RNAcentral